This 344-nucleotide long non-coding RNA is filed under the name Ananas comosus (pineapple). RNAcentral's name for it is "long non-coding RNA (ACOM_LNC030221)". Lineage: Eukaryota; Viridiplantae; Streptophyta; Magnoliopsida; Poales; Bromeliaceae. The record is from RNAcentral.
GUAGCAAACGGGCUCCGUUGCCACCCAUUUGUUUUCGAUGAUGGAGCCCUCAAAUCGAUGAUCGACACCGUUGAACAUGAUCUAUAUCACUUGAAGUAUCUAGAAAUUAAAUUUCAAAUAUUUUCGAUAUCAUUGACCUAAUGAUCAAAGGGUUUCAAAAUUUGUAAUUUUAAUGGUCGAUGUGAGGUGUUUUCUCGUUUAACGGUGUAAAACUAUCCAAAUCAAUUGAAUUUUGGUUAGAAAAUUUUUUAAAGUAUUUAGAACAAGAUCUACACUCUCGAUCUUGAUUACAAAAUUCCUAUCAUCACUUUUUAGAGGAUAUUCAUUUUCAGCUGUUCAUUUUU